Molecule: ribosomal RNA, 422 nt
Filed under: uncultured bacterium
Lineage: Bacteria
Description: bacterial SSU rRNA
Rfam family: Bacterial small subunit ribosomal RNA
Source: RNAcentral
UGAGGAAUAUUGGUCAAUGGGGGCAACCCUGAACCAGCCAAGUCGCGUGAAGGAUGAAGGUCUUAUGGAUUGUAAACUUCUUUUACACGGGAAUAAAGCGGGGGACGUGUCCCUCUUUGCAUGUACCGUGUGAAUAAGGAUCGGCUAACUCCGUGCCAGCAGCCGCGGUAAUACGGAGGAUCCGAGCGUUAUCCGGAUUUAUUGGGUUUAAAGGGUGCGCAGGCGGGAUGUUAAGUCGGCGGUGAAAUUUUGCAGCUCAACUGUAAAGGUGCCUUCGGUACUGGGCUUCUUGAGGGUGGAUGAAGUAGGCGGAAUUUGUGGUGUAGCGGUGAAAUGCUGAGAUAUCACGAGGAACUCCAAUUUCGCAGGCAGCUUACUAAGCCACAACUGACGCUCAUGCACGAAGGCGUGGGGAUCAAACA